RNAcentral lists this ribosomal RNA (343 nucleotides) under uncultured eukaryote. RNAcentral describes it as "LSU rRNA". It matches the Rfam family "Bacterial large subunit ribosomal RNA", at positions 2137 to 2479 of the family's 2925-position model. The record is from RNAcentral.
CGCAGCUUAGGUGGGAGACGUUGAACCUUUUCUUCCGGGAAAGGGGGAGUCAUCAGUGAGAUACCACUCUUGGUAAGCUAGAGCGCUCAUUUUUAACCGUUAUCCGGUAAAAAGACAGUUUCAGGCGGGCAGUUUGACUGGGGCAGUCACCUCCCAAAAGGUAAUGGAGGUGUACAAAGGUUCUCUCAGGCUGGACGGAAAUCAGCCAUAGAGUGUAAAAGCAUAAGAGAGCUUGACUGCGAGACGGACAUGUCAAGCAGAGACGAAAGUCGGUUUUAGUGAUCCGACGGUGCUGAGUGGAAAGGCCGUCGCUCAACGGAUAAAAGUUACUCUAGGGAUAACA